Molecule: ribosomal RNA, 253 nt
Filed under: uncultured bacterium
Lineage: Bacteria
Description: partial 16S ribosomal RNA
Rfam family: Bacterial small subunit ribosomal RNA
Source: RNAcentral
UACGUAGGGUGCGAGCGUUGUCCGGAAUUAUUGGGCGUAAAGGGCUCGUGGGCGGUCUGUUGCGUCAGGAGUGAAAACUCGGGGCUUAACCCCGAGCCUGCUUCUGAUACGGGCAGACUAGAGGUAUGCAGGGGAGAACGGAAUUCCUAGUGUAGCGGUGAAAUGCGCAGAUAUCAGGAGGAACACCGGUGGCGAAGGCGGUUCUCUGGGCAUUACCUGACGCUGAGGAGCGAAAGUGUGGGGAGCGAACAGG